CAACGAUUACCCUGCAUCCGUGGAUGCCACCUGGUCAGGCCCGGAAGGGAGCAGCCAUAGCGGGAACAUCGAGUGCCAGGGUGUGGCUGGUGGGG
Molecule: signal recognition particle RNA, 95 nt
Filed under: Pseudomonas mosselii
Lineage: Bacteria; Pseudomonadati; Pseudomonadota; Gammaproteobacteria; Pseudomonadales; Pseudomonadaceae
Description: signal recognition particle sRNA small type
Rfam family: Bacterial small signal recognition particle RNA
About the family: The signal recognition particle (SRP) is a universally conserved ribonucleoprotein involved in the co-translational targeting of proteins to membranes. Archaeal SRP consists of a 7S RNA and homologues of the eukaryotic SRP19 and SRP54 proteins. In most bacteria, the SRP consists of a 4.5S RNA and the Ffh protein (a homologue of the eukaryotic SRP54 protein).
Source: RNAcentral